RNAcentral lists this transfer RNA (73 nucleotides) under Ixodes scapularis (black-legged tick). It matches the Rfam family "tRNA". From Rfam's summary of the family: Transfer RNA (tRNA) molecules are approximately 80 nucleotides in length. Their secondary structure includes four short double-helical elements and three loops (D, anti-codon, and T loops). Further hydrogen bonds mediate the characteristic L-shaped molecular structure. tRNAs have two regions of fundamental functional importance: the anti-codon, which is responsible for specific mRNA codon recognition, and the 3' end, to which the tRNAs corresponding amino acid is attached (by aminoacyl-tRNA synthetases). tRNAs cope with the degeneracy of the genetic code in two manners: having more than one tRNA (with a specific anti-codon) for a particular amino acid; and 'wobble' base-pairing, i.e. permitting non-standard base-pairing at the 3rd anti-codon position. The record is from Rfam by way of RNAcentral. Lineage: Eukaryota; Metazoa; Arthropoda; Arachnida; Ixodida; Ixodidae.
UCCUGGUUAGCUGAGUUGGUAGGGUGCUUCACUAGAAAUAGAGAGGUCCCUGGUUCGAUACCAGGACCAGGCG